CGAUGUUGAAGUUGAAUCCUUACUGUUCUUUCAUUAUUUGUUUGUAUUUCCUGUGGAUAAGCAGUGUCCACAACACUUUACUUAGUUUUGAGACAUCCUUAUAUUGCGUUAUGACCAUGAAUUUUUAACAGCUUUCUUAUUAUAACCCUAUGGUAACAAAUCUGUAUUUGUUAUUGUGGUUUGCAUCUGACUGAUAUAUAUCUAGCCUGCAACAUUGUAAUAUGAGAUGUUGCCUGCAACAUUCUUAAUGAAAUUUGAUGCGAGGGAUAUUAUGUUGGGGAGAGAAAUAGGUCUAUUGGGACUUCGGAUAAUCGUGAUAAUAAAUUCUUUGUAAUAUGAGUUGCUGUCGAUCACAUUCUUAAUUGGAUUCUCUCUCUCUCUCUCUCUCUCUCUCAACUCACAUUUUUUACUGCAUCUUGUUUUCCAAAUUGAAUAUUCUUUAAGCUUAAAGGUUGAGUGGACCUCUUUUCAUGUCCUUAUGCUUUUGCUUUUAUUUAACAUCACAUGCAUUCCCGAUUUGUUGUCUUUCAUGUACUUGAGAUUUUACAUCUUUAUUUUGUUUGUUUUAUCUAUGCAAAUUUAUGUGUUGUUGAACUUACUGUUCUUGACCCUUUGGCAGGAGAAAGAGUUUAAAGUUGCAGUUCUCCUUAUUUUUGACAAUAAGCAGGAAGUAAAAAAUGUAUGAUAGGAGAUUUGGAGUUCGCUAGAAAAGCUCUGCCUGUAUGAUCAAAGAACACGAAUUCUGGAAUUCAGGUACUCAUAUGGUAGUUAUUCAGGAUUUGUAAUCACACUUUAAGUAGAUAUUAUGCAAUGUGAAAUCAACCCAGGCCUGAUUCUUCAACCACUGACAAGGAACUUGCUUCUAUGAUCGAGAGUGUUUCCGAGAAACAACAUUUUACCGCAAAAUGGCUUCAACUGCCGAGAUUGGAUGGGAUUUUAGUACAAGAUGGAUGAGGUAGAUUUUUGAAACAGGGAGAAGUAAUUGAUUUAGCAUUUAUACUCCUACAUUAACAUUUUAUUGAAAGCACAAUAGAGUAUGUUUUGAGUU
Molecule: long non-coding RNA, 1048 nt
Organism: Rosa chinensis
Lineage: Eukaryota; Viridiplantae; Streptophyta; Magnoliopsida; Rosales; Rosaceae
Exons: 4
Source: RefSeq, a predicted model, not a curated record